CUGAUAUUCCAGUGUGUCAAAAUGCAGUUGAGUUGCAACCUUUAGAUAUUUAAUUGUUUAAAAAUUAGAUAUUAUUGGAUAAUUGAGGAAUAGUCGUUAAUGCUUUUAAUUGGUUAGAUUUCUUUGUAAUGUUCUUUCUAUAAAAUAUAUAAUGUUCUGAUAGAAAUAUCAUGAGCAAACAAAAUGUAAAUAAAGAACAUUCUAGAUAACUUUAUAGAGAAAUAGUAAUUUAUAUACUUAAUUAAUAUGCGUAAAGCAAAUAAAUAAUUUGUGUGAACAGAUAUAUAUUUGUGAUUAGAGAGAAGGAAAAUAUAUAUAAUAAGCAAUAGCAUCAAUUUUGCUUAUAAAUAAUAAAAUGGAAAUGAAUCUAAACGUUGAUUUAACAGAAAAUAAUAUUUCUCGUAGAAAGAAUGUUCACGAAUGGACAUGGGAUGAUAAAUACAUAUCAGAAACGGCAGAACUAUCAAAGUAUAACUUAGAAGUUAGAUUUCAUCCAAAAUUUAGUAUUGGUACAGCUUAUGUUAGAGGUAAUAUGUCCUUGCAAAAAGGAAGACAUCACUAUUGGGAAAUUAAAAUGAUUACGCCAGUAUAUGGGACAGAUGUAAUGAUCGGUGUAGGAACAAGUAAAGUUGAUCUAACAGGUUUAAAAGAAACAUUUUGUUCGUUACUUGGACGAGACGAAGAAUCUUGGGGUUUUUCGUAUAAAGGUUACAUACAACAUGCCGGUGAAAGCAGGGUUUAUACUGGUCGUUUCCGUAAAGGAAGUUUAGUAGGUGUACAUUUUGAUAGUUGGAAAGGAACAAUACAAUAUUUCUUAAAUAGAAAACCUUUAGGUAUUGCAUUUACCGGAUUACAAAAUACAACUCUUUAUCCUAUGGUUUGUUCAACAGCUGCUAAUAGUAAAGUUAAAAUAAAACUUUGUUCCUCAGUUCCUGUAUCUUUACAAAUGGAAUGUUUAUCUGUACUACAACCUGUACAGAAAUUAUAUCUUUCUAACGCUUUUCCUGGAUUAAGAUAUUUAUUGACAAGUAUCUUCGUUGAUAUCUUGCAUAAGCAAUAUGGUUAAUUAAAAUUUUAUUUAAUAUACAUAUAAUGCAUAAAUAUAUACAGGAUGUCUGAGGUUCUUCUGGCUGAGCUGUGUUAGUGUAUUCUAUGCAGACAAAAAUCUCUGACAACCUGUAUAUUAACAGAGUGAUAAGAAAAAAAGGUGAUCAUAACGAUGAUGACGAUGAGGAUAACGAUAACGAUAAUACUAGUAGUGAUGAACUUUUUGAAUUUUUACCCGAA
This 1287-nucleotide unclassified non-coding RNA is filed under the name Polistes canadensis. RNAcentral describes it as "sPRY domain-containing SOCS box protein 3-like, transcript variant X1". The record is from RNAcentral. Lineage: Eukaryota; Metazoa; Arthropoda; Insecta; Hymenoptera; Vespidae.